Molecule: ribosomal RNA, 427 nt
Filed under: uncultured bacterium
Lineage: Bacteria
Description: bacterial SSU rRNA
Rfam family: Bacterial small subunit ribosomal RNA
Source: RNAcentral
UGGGGAAUUUUGGACAAUGGACGCAAGUCUGAUCCAGCCAUGCCGCGUGCGGGAAGAAGGCCUUCGGGUUGUAAACUGCUUUUGUACGGAGCGAAAAGGUCUGCCCUAAUACGGUGGGCUAAUGACGGUACCGUAAGAAUAAGCACCGGCUAACUACGUGCCAGCAGCCGCGGUAAUACGUAGGGUGCAAGCGUUAAUCGGAAUUACUGGGCGUAAAGCGUGCGCAGGCGGUUAUGCAAGACAGAGGUGAAAUCCCCGGGCUCAACCUGGGAACUGCCUUUGUGACUGCAUAGCUAGAGUACGGUAGAGGGGGAUGGAAUUCCGCGUGUAGCAGUGAAAUGCGUAGAUAUGCGGAGGAACACCGAUGGCGAAGGCAAUCCCCUGGACCUGUACUGACGCUCAUGCACGAAAGCGUGGGGAGCAAACA